RNAcentral lists this long non-coding RNA (890 nucleotides) under Homo sapiens (human). RNAcentral's name for it is "HSALNT0241069". Lineage: Eukaryota; Metazoa; Chordata; Mammalia; Primates; Hominidae. The record is from RNAcentral.
UUCCAUUGCUACUGACUGGAUGCCAGCUGUGAGCCAGGCACCACCCUAGCUCUGGGCAUGUGGUUGUAAUCUUGGAGCCUCAUGGAGCUCACAGGGAGUGCUGGCAAGGAGAUGGAUAAUGGACGGAUAACAAAUAAACAUUUAGUACAAUGUCCGGGAAUGGAAAGUUCUCGAAAGAAAAUUAAAGCUGAUGUCCAAAAAUGAUACUGACAUCCCAGGUCAGAAUGGUCGCCAGUUCCGAUCAAGACAGAGCCCCGUAUCUUCCAGGGACACUAGACAAGAUGCCAGGACCACGCCUCCGCUCUGCCCAGAGGCCAAAAGCAGCCCAACAAGGAGAAGCCAGACGUGAAGGAUAUAAAUUGAACCAACUUGGACUGAAGAUCCCAGCCAGGAGGAUCUGCUCCCCCAGGAAGGGAACUGAUUUGUCCUCGAGGCCCCUGGGAUAGGAGAAGCCACAGCAUCCUGUUGUUUGAUCUUCUUAUCUUCAAGCAGGCAUGACUCGGUUCCAGAAAUACAAGCCAUAAGAUAGACCUCCAGACUCCUAGAGACGAUCUGAAGCUGCAGAAGCCCUCCACUGAAAGACCGGACCCACUGCCUACUCCUCCUGGCAGGUGCCCUGGACAAGGGCACAGACUUCACAGCGUUCAAGUGUGAAGGGAUUGUCCUUCUCCAGCCCUGGAUAUUAAAAGGUCUACCCCGAUGAGCCAUGGAGGGACUCUGAGUGUGUGUGUGUGUGUGUGUGUGUGUGUGUGUGUGUGUGUGUGUUGGAGGAGUUGCUUAUGGAAAAUAUUUUUCCUGCUCUUAAAAAGGGACUCCUGCCAGGCAUGGUGGCUCAUGCCUGUAAUCCAAGCAGUUUGGGAGGCCGAGGCAGGUGGAUCACCUGAGGUCAG